Molecule: ribosomal RNA, 404 nt
Filed under: uncultured bacterium
Lineage: Bacteria
Description: bacterial SSU rRNA
Rfam family: Bacterial small subunit ribosomal RNA
Source: RNAcentral
UGGGGAAUAUUGCACAAUGGGGGAAACCCUGAUGCAGCGACGCCGCGUGAGUGAAGAAGUAUUUCGGUACGUAAAGCUCUAUCAGCAAGGAAGAUAAUGACGGUACUUGACUAAGAAGCUCCGGCUAAAUACGUGCCAGCAGCCGCGGUAAUACGUAUGGAGCAAGCGUUAUCCGGAUUUACUGGGUGUAAAGGGAGCGUAGACGGCAUGGCAAGUCUGAUGUGAAAGCCCGGGGCUCAACCCCGGAACUGCAUUGGAAACUGUCGUGCUAGAGUGCAGGAGAGGUAAGCGGAAUUCCUAGUGUAGCGGUGAAAUGCGUAGAUAUUAGGAGGAACACCAGUGGCGAAGGCGGCUUACUGGACUGUAACUGACGUUGAGGCUCGAAAGCGUGGGGAGCAAACAGG